AUGCCUGACUUCCCUGGGACCCCGGACGUCGAGAUCCUUGAUGGCCCUGACAAGCCCGCUGCGAAGCCCUUCGACAAGCCAUUUGACCCCGUUGAUAGGAAGAGGAAGAGAGGAGGCCUGAUGGCGGAGGAGAUCAAUGUCUUCUGCAGCAUGACUGAGGCGGUGAAGGAGGUGGCAACAGCCAUCAGGGAGUGCAAGCCCCUCGACGUCCACCCUGACCUGUAUGGCGCUAUCAUGACCCAGGGUGGCUUCAGCGACGAGGCUCUCAUGGCAGCUCUCAGCCACCUGCUUGACAACACGGCCCAGGGUGUUGGGUUCGUUGCCAUGGCCGAUGCUCAUAGGGUGCUGUGGCUCAGGAGCUGGCUAGGCAAGCACUACUACUAG
RNAcentral lists this ribosomal RNA (384 nucleotides) under Triticum aestivum (bread wheat). RNAcentral describes it as "partial small subunit ribosomal RNA". Lineage: Eukaryota; Viridiplantae; Streptophyta; Magnoliopsida; Poales; Poaceae. The record is from RNAcentral.